AGCCCAGUUUAAGUCUCCCAGCUCUACGUGAACUAGCUCUAACUACAGCGGUACUGACCCGAGCUAACUCCAGAGGCAUUCCAGAUGCAGAAUUUGAUGAUCUUGACCCAGCUGGAAUAGAAAGGUCAAAAGGUCAGGAUUGAGAGACAAAUGUUGGCACUGAUGCCAAAGUACUGUAUAUCAGAGAGAGUCAAAAAACAACUCAAGUUACUGGAGUUUGACGAGUCGACUCAGGGAAAGGACUUAAGUUCGGAAAUUCGCGGUGGUAUUUUUAGAAGUGUCCUCCAAUGUGACCUCCUAUUGUCGAGCUGUCAUCUCAACCUCAGGACAAACCUCACAGUUUUCUAGAUUUCUGUUUCGGUCGAGUCUGGAUGAAGCCCUUGCUAGAGACCUAGGAAGUAC
Long non-coding RNA from Saccostrea cuccullata (small rock oyster), 402 nucleotides. RefSeq lists it as uncharacterized. The transcript is spliced from 3 exons. NCBI's taxonomy places the organism in Eukaryota, Metazoa, Mollusca, Bivalvia, Ostreida, Ostreidae. The record is from RefSeq and is a predicted model, not a curated record.